This 253-nucleotide ribosomal RNA is filed under the name uncultured bacterium. Its description in RNAcentral is "partial 16S ribosomal RNA". It matches the Rfam family "Bacterial small subunit ribosomal RNA", at positions 524 to 776 of the family's 1533-position model. The record is from RNAcentral.
UACGUAGGGUGCGAGCGUUAAUCGGAAUUACUGGGCGUAAAGCGUGCGCAGGCGGUUGUGUAAGACAGAUGUGAAAUCCCCGGGCUCAACCUGGGAACUGCAUUUGUGACUGCACAGCUGGAGUGCGGCAGAGGGGGAUGGAAUUCCGCGUGUAGCAGUGAAAUGCGUAGAUAUGCGGAGGAACACCGAUGGCGAAGGCAAUCCCCUGGGCCUGCACUGACGCUCAUGCACGAAAGCCAGGGGAGCAAACGGG